Molecule: transfer RNA, 69 nt
Filed under: Oreolalax rhodostigmatus (red-spotted toothed toad)
Lineage: Eukaryota; Metazoa; Chordata; Amphibia; Anura; Megophryidae
Description: tRNA-Glu
Rfam family: tRNA
About the family: Transfer RNA (tRNA) molecules are approximately 80 nucleotides in length. Their secondary structure includes four short double-helical elements and three loops (D, anti-codon, and T loops).
Source: RNAcentral
GUUUUUAUAGUUAAAUUACAACAGUGGUUUUUCGUAUCGCAGGCCUCAGUUAAAAUCUGGGUAAAAACU